This 433-nucleotide ribosomal RNA is filed under the name uncultured bacterium. RNAcentral describes it as "partial 16S ribosomal RNA". It matches the Rfam family "Bacterial small subunit ribosomal RNA", at positions 29 to 507 of the family's 1533-position model. The record is from RNAcentral.
AGCGAACGCUGGCGGCAGGCCUAACACAUGCAAGUCGAACGAACUCUACGGAGUUAGUGGCGGACGGGUGAGUAACACGUGGGAACGUGCCUUUUGGUUCGGAAUAACUCAGGGAAACUUGUGCUAAUACCGAAUGUGCCCUUCGGGGGAAAGAUUUAUCGCCAUUAGAGCGGCCCGCGUCUGAUUAGCUAGUUGGUGAGGUAACGGCUCACCAAGGCGACGAUCAGUAGCUGGUCUGAGAGGAUGACCAGCCACACUGGGACUGAGACACGGCCCAGACUCCUACGGGAGGCAGCAGUGGGGAAUCUUGCGCAAUGGGCGAAAGCCUGACGCAGCCAUGCCGCGUGAAUGAUGAAGGUCUUAGGAUUGUAAAAUUCUUUCACCGGGGACGAUAAUGACGGUACCCGGAGAAGAAGCCCCGGCUAACUUCGUG